GCAGUACAUGUGUAUAACAAUUUUACCAGAAAUCUUGUUCCGAAGUGUAGCACCUUUUCUGAAAAGGAAUUUUUUAGGGUGAUACUUUGAGGUCAUCAUUUUUUGAUUUUCCCAGAGUUUUUCUUAAUAAAUGGGAAAAAUCGAAAAAAACGAAGGAAAAACGGGAAAAUUUAUGAAGUCAAUGUUUUUUUUAUUUUAAUUCAGUGAAAAAUAUCCGUAGAGACUUGAAAUUUCGAUAAAACUUUAUAUUUACCUUUUCUAAACGUGAUACAAUUUUCAAAACAUUCAAGCCAUUUUUACGCUAUUGCACACUUUAAUUUUGCUAGUUUUUUACAUUAUUGUUAUUCGGUGGGUACUUUGAGUAUAAAAUUGUUUUAUCAAACAGAAAUGCUUGAAAGUUUAAUAGGAAAUUCAUUAUAAGUUGUACUUACCUAGUGAUUAACAAGGAAAAGUCGAGUUUAAUGUAAUAAUUUAUU
Molecule: non-coding RNA, 476 nt
Organism: Cinara cedri
Lineage: Eukaryota; Metazoa; Arthropoda; Insecta; Hemiptera; Aphididae
Source: the annotation of a GenBank genome assembly